This 745-nucleotide ribosomal RNA is filed under the name uncultured bacterium. RNAcentral describes it as "bacterial SSU rRNA". It matches the Rfam family "Bacterial small subunit ribosomal RNA", at positions 33 to 773 of the family's 1533-position model. The record is from RNAcentral.
ACGCUGGCGGCAGGCCUAACACAUGCAAGUCGAGCGGUAGAGAGAAGCUUGCUUCUCUUGAGAGCGGCGGACGGGUGAGUAAUGCCUAGGAAUCUGCCUGGUAGUGGGGGAUAACGUUCGGAAACGGACGCUAAUACCGCAUACGUCCUACGGGAGAAAGCAGGGGACCUUCGGGCCUUGCGCUAUCAGAUGAGCCUAGGUCGGAUUAGCUAGUUGGUGGGGUAAUGGCUCACCAAGGCGACGAUCCGUAACUGGUCUGAGAGGAUGAUCAGUCACACUGGAACUGAGACACGGUCCAGACUCCUACGGGAGGCAGCAGUGGGGAAUAUUGGACAAUGGGCGAAAGCCUGAUCCAGUCAUGCCGCGUGUGUGAAGAAGGUCUUCGGAUUGUAAAGCACUUUAAGUUGGGAGGAAGGGCAGUAAAUUAAUACUUUGCUGUUUUGACGUUACCGACAGAAUAAGCACCGGCUAACUCUGUGCCAGCAGCCGCGGUAAUACAGAGGGUGCAAGCGUUAAUCGGAAUUACUGGGCGUAAAGCGCGCGUAGGUGGUUCGUUAAGUUGGAUGUGAAAUCCCCGGGCUCAACCUGGGAACUGCAUUCAAAACUGACGAGCUAGAGUAUGGUAGAGGGUGGUGGAAUUUCCUGUGUAGCGGUGAAAUGCGUAGAUAUAGGAAGGAACACCAGUGGCGAAGGCGACCACCUGGACUGAUACUGACACUGAGGUGCGAAAGCGUGGGGAGCAAAC